This 236-nucleotide ribosomal RNA is filed under the name uncultured bacterium. RNAcentral's name for it is "partial 16S ribosomal RNA". It matches the Rfam family "Bacterial small subunit ribosomal RNA", at positions 30 to 262 of the family's 1533-position model. The record is from RNAcentral.
AUUGAACGCUGGCGGCAUGCCUUACACAUGCAAGUCGAGCGGCAGCGCGGGGGCGAACCCUGGCGGCGAGCGGCGGACGGGUGAGUAAUACAUCGGAACGUGUCCUUUCGUGGGGGAGUAACCAGUCGAAAGACUGGCUAAUACCGCAUGAGAUCUCACGAUGAAAGCGGGGGACCCGCAAGGGCCUCGCGCGAUUGGAGCGGCCGAUGUCGGAUUAGCUAGUUGGCGGGGUAAAA